CCAGCGACAUAUUACGACGAAACUGUGUGCUCUGGGACUAAAAGCACAUUUCAGAAUCUCAAAGCCUUGACAUCAUUAUUCUUUUCCCAAAAACAGAACGAUACAAGUUUCACAUCAUGAUGGUAAAACGCUGCACACCGAAUACGUAUUCAUGACCAAAAGCACAGAAAUUGACUGAAAGAGAGAACUGAUCUAGCAGGAAUACCACCCCAUGGACUGUAUGAUUGAGUUGCACAAAGCCUGCUGCAAAUCGUUCUAUGCGAACAAUGUAGCAUGAAAUCAUAGUACGUUUAUACAACUGCGGAAUAAACAUAUAAAUUGAGGAAACUUA
Molecule: long non-coding RNA, 331 nt
Organism: Rhipicephalus microplus (southern cattle tick)
Lineage: Eukaryota; Metazoa; Arthropoda; Arachnida; Ixodida; Ixodidae
Source: RefSeq, a predicted model, not a curated record